CUCGGGCGACCGCGCGCAUUGGGACGGAGGAAAGUCCGGACUCCGCAGGGCAGGGCGCCCCGCCGCCGAGGCGGGGGAGGCGCGGGCAAACCGCGCCGACGGAAAGCGCCACAGAAACGAGACCGCCCCGGGGGCGACCCCGGAGCAAGGGUGAAACGGCGGUGCAAGAGACCACCGUGCGCCGCGGAGACGCGGCGCGCAAGGCAAGCCCCGCCCGGAGCAAGAUCGAAUAGGGAACGCGCCCCGCGGCCCGCGGGCGGCCCGGCCGAAAGACCGGACGGCGUUCCGGGUCGAUCGCGAAGAAGAAUGAUCCGAGCCGCCUUCGGGCGGACACAGAAUCCGGCUUAUGACCCCGCC
Molecule: RNase P RNA, 357 nt
Filed under: bovine gut metagenome
Description: Bacterial RNase P class A
Rfam family: Bacterial RNase P class A
About the family: Ribonuclease P (RNase P) is a ubiquitous endoribonuclease, found in archaea, bacteria and eukarya as well as chloroplasts and mitochondria.
Source: RNAcentral